Non-coding RNA from Oncorhynchus mykiss (rainbow trout), 1012 nucleotides. NCBI's taxonomy places the organism in Eukaryota, Metazoa, Chordata, Actinopteri, Salmoniformes, Salmonidae. The record is from RefSeq and is a predicted model, not a curated record.
GGAUCUGGAACACGCUGUCGUACACGUCGAUCCCAAACAGGCUCAAUUGGUGACAUGUCUGAGGCCUGGAACCAGUUUGUCUGUCUGCCAGCCUGACCCCUGCUCUUUGAUCAGAGAGCUGGCUGUGCUGAAGGAGAAAUUGGGAACCACGGACCAGAAACUGGGAGCUGUGGAGGAGAUGAGGAGUAGGAACAAAGUUCAAGAGGAAGAACUGAAGACUUUGAAGGAGGGUUUAAAGUGUCUGGUUCUGGGCGUUUGGACCGAUCUCCACCGACAUCCAUUUACAGUAGAAGCGAGUAUUCUCCAACAUUGGCAGUGGCUACAACUCUGCUAAAGGUGUCUUCACAGCCAUGGUGAAGGGGGUGUAUUUCUUCCAUUACUCCAGCCUUUCCCAAACUCUGUCCUGGGGAACCCAAGUGGUGUACGCUUAGUUUUUUGCCAGAGUACUACACAGCUGAUUUUAAAUAAUGAACUCAUCAUCAAGCUUUGAUUAUUUGAAUCAGCUGUGUAGUACUAGGGCAAAAAAACUAAAUGUGCACCCCUUCGUGUCCCCCACCCCUUCGUGUCCCCAGGACCGAGUUUGGGAAACACAGCGUUACACCAUGUACAACCAAGGAAGUUUACCAUCUGCCAUGUCUACGAUGAAGAAAGGCUACCUGCGUCUACCUGGUAAAGCACCAAAGAUCGUGACAAUGACAGUAACACAGCCGUAGUGAAGCUGGAGGUGGGAGCCAGUGUUUACGUACAGCUAUGGGCUACCAGGGUUGUCUUCAAUGAUACUGGAAUCGACAAUGGUAAUGCAGGUUUUAAUCAAAUACCUAUUAAACAGUCAUACUAUCAUAAUGUAUUUGUUUGUUGCUCUGCUGCAUUUAGUCUUGGAUGUCAGGAUCUUACUACCCUUCACCAAAAUAUUUAUUUGGGGGUUAAUUUUAGAUCGUUUCUUCUUGUCAUACUGUUAAUGUUAAAAGUAUUCACAUAAAUAAAUGAACAAUAAAAUGGAUAAUUAAAGGUG